Molecule: transfer RNA, 72 nt
Filed under: bacterium
Lineage: Bacteria
Description: tRNA-Val
Rfam family: tRNA
About the family: Transfer RNA (tRNA) molecules are approximately 80 nucleotides in length. Their secondary structure includes four short double-helical elements and three loops (D, anti-codon, and T loops). Further hydrogen bonds mediate the characteristic L-shaped molecular structure. tRNAs have two regions of fundamental functional importance: the anti-codon, which is responsible for specific mRNA codon recognition, and the 3' end, to which the tRNAs corresponding amino acid is attached (by aminoacyl-tRNA synthetases). tRNAs cope with the degeneracy of the genetic code in two manners: having more than one tRNA (with a specific anti-codon) for a particular amino acid; and 'wobble' base-pairing, i.e. permitting non-standard base-pairing at the 3rd anti-codon position.
Source: RNAcentral
GGGCGGUUAGCUCAGUGGUAGAGCGUUCCGUUCACAUCGGAAAGGUCAGAAGUUCGAUCCUUCUACCGCCCA